RNAcentral lists this ribosomal RNA (768 nucleotides) under uncultured archaeon. RNAcentral's name for it is "bacterial SSU rRNA". It matches the Rfam family "Archaeal small subunit ribosomal RNA", at positions 108 to 879 of the family's 1478-position model. The record is from RNAcentral.
CCCAUCCUUCGCCGUGCACUCACCGUGGAACUGAGAAUAAUACCCGAUAGAACAUUAUGCCUGGAAUGGUUUAUGUUUCAAAUGAUUUAUCGCCAUAGGAUGGGACUGCGGCCUAUCAGUUUGUUGGUGAGGUAAUGGCCCACCAAGACUAUUACAGGUACGGGCUCUGAGAGGAGUAGCCCGGAGAUGGGUACUGAGACACGGACCCAGGCCCUAUGAGGCGCAGCAGGCGAGAAAACUUUGCAAUGUGCGAAAGCACGACAAGGUUAAUCCGAGUGGUUUCUGCUAAAGAAACCUUUUGUCAGUCCUAGAAACACUAACGAAUAAGGGGUGGGCAAGUUCUGGUGUCAGCCGCCGCGGUAAAACCAGCACCUCAAGUGGUCAGGAUGAUUAUUGGGCCUAAAGCAUCCGUAGCUCGUUUUGUAAGUUUUCGGUUAAAUCCAUGCACUUAACGUAUGGGCUGCCGGGAAUACUGCAUAACUAGGAAGUGGGAGAGGUAGACGGUACUCGGUAGGAAGGGGUAAAAUCCUUUGAUCUAUUGAUGACCACCUGUGGCGAAGGCGGACUACCAGAACACGUUCGACGGUGAGGGAUGAAAGCUGGGGGAGCAAACCGGAUUAGAUACCCGGGUAGUCCCAGCUGUAAACUAUGCAAACUCAGUGAUGCAUUGGCUUGUGGCCAAUGCAGUGCUGCAGGGAAGCCGUUAAGUUUGCCGCCUGGGAAGUACGUACGCAAGUAUGAAACUUAAAGGAAUUGGCGGGGGAGCAC